Molecule: ribosomal RNA, 97 nt
Filed under: uncultured bacterium
Lineage: Bacteria
Description: partial 16S ribosomal RNA
Source: RNAcentral
CACCGCCCGUCACCAUCACGAAAGUGGGUUGUACUACGAAGUCCGCGCGCUAACCGCAAGGAGGCAGCGGCCCAAGGUAUGACUCAUGAUUGGGGUG